AACCCUAGAAAAGCAAUGGAAACUAGUAGACUAGAGUAUGGCAGGGGUAGAGGGAAUUUCUAGUGUAGCGGUGAAAUGCGUAGAUAUUAGAAAGAACACCGGUGGCGAAAGCGCUCUACUGGACCAUUACUGACACUCAGAGGCGAAAGCUAGGGUAGCAAAAGGAUUAGAUACCCCUGUAGUCCUAGCCGUAAACGAUGGAUACUAGAUGUUGUGCAUUAUGUACAGUAUCGUAGCUAACGCGUUAAGUAUCCCGCCUGGGGAGUACGCUCGCAAGGGUGAAACUCAAAGGAAUUGACGGGGGCCCGCACAAGCGGUGGAGCAUGUGGUUUAAUUCGAUGCAACGCGAAGAACCUUACCAGGGCUUGACAUACUACGAAUUUUCUUGAAAGAGAAAAGUGCCUUCGGGAAUGUAGAUACAGGUGGUGCAUGGCUGUCGUCAGCUCGUGUCGUGAGAUGUUGGGUUAAGUCCCGCAACGAGCGCAACCCUUAUUUUUAGUUACCAAUUCGUUGGGUUCUCUAGAAAGACUGCCGGUGACAAACCGGAGGAAGGUGAGGAUGACGUCAAGUCAGCAUGCCCCUUAUGUCCUGGGCUACACACGUGCUACAAUGGUUAAGACAAAGAGUUGCGAACUUGUAAAAGUCAGCUAAUCUCGUAAACUUAGCCUAAGUUCAGAUUGUAGGCUGCAACUCGCCUGCAUGAAGUUGGAAUCGCUAGUAAUCGCUGGUCAGCUAUACAGCGGUGAAUCCGUUCCCGGGCCUUGUACACACCGCCCGUCACACCAUGGGAGCUGGUCAUACCCGAAACCGUUAGUUUAACCGCGAGGAGAACGACGUCUAAGGUAGGGCUAGUGACUGGGGUGAAGUCGUAACAAGGUAACC
Molecule: ribosomal RNA, 882 nt
Filed under: uncultured cyanobacterium
Lineage: Bacteria; Bacillati; Cyanobacteriota
Description: bacterial SSU rRNA
Rfam family: Bacterial small subunit ribosomal RNA
Source: RNAcentral